Molecule: ribosomal RNA, 378 nt
Filed under: uncultured bacterium
Lineage: Bacteria
Description: SSU rRNA
Rfam family: Bacterial small subunit ribosomal RNA
Source: RNAcentral
GAUUUCUUCAUGUAACGCNAAAAUCAGCAGGGAAGAAAAUGACGGUACCUGCCUAAGAAGCACCGGCUAAAUACGUGCCAGCAGCCGCGGUAAUACGUAUGGUGCAAGCGUUAUCCGGAUUUACUGGGUGUAAAGGGAGCGCAGGCAGUGCGGCAAGUCUGAUGUGAAAGCCCGGGGCUCAACCCCGGUACUGCAUUGGAAACUGUCGUACUAGAGUGUCGGAGGGGUAAGCGGAAUUCCUAGUGUAGCGGUGAAAUGCGUAGAUAUUAGGAGGAACACCAGUGGCGAAGGCGGCUUACUGGACGAUAACUGACGCUGAGGCUCGAAAGCGUGGGGAGCAAACAGGAUUAGAUACCCUGGUAGUCCAAGGGCGAAUUC